UUCCCGGCGGGCGCACGGCCGGAGUGCGUCACGCUGCGUGAUCGCCGCGACGGAGCCAAUCGGUUGGAGGCGGCCGCGCGUGGACAGCGCCCUGAUUGGUAAGAAAACUACAGCUGCCCGGACAGGGAACCAAUGGCGGGGUACGGCCACCACGUGUACAGCUCGUGGAUAAACAGGCUUAGGAAGGAGAUUGCUUCAGCAGAAUAAGAAGAUAAUGGAACACUUUAUGCCAAGAGAGAACAUACAUAGGGCCCUGGGGAGACCACGAUGAUGUGAGUCACAUCGCCCUUCCCAUUCCUGUGCAUGCAGGCAAACGCUGUCACAAACACUGGGUCGGAGCACGUAGCCUAGAAGGAUCACAGCAUCACAGAAUGGCUUGGGUUGGAAGGGACCCCAAGGAUCGCCAAGUUCCAAGAAUGUUGUCUUAAAGCAGGCUAAUCAAAGGUUUUCAUUAAGUGCAGUGCAAGAGGAAGUGGCAAUA
Molecule: long non-coding RNA, 481 nt
Filed under: Pavo cristatus (Indian peafowl)
Lineage: Eukaryota; Metazoa; Chordata; Aves; Galliformes; Phasianidae
Description: lncRNA (ENSPSTG00000004184.1)
Source: RNAcentral